RNAcentral lists this long non-coding RNA (700 nucleotides) under Callithrix jacchus (white-tufted-ear marmoset). RNAcentral describes it as "lncRNA (ENSCJAG00000084695.1)". The record is from RNAcentral. Lineage: Eukaryota; Metazoa; Chordata; Mammalia; Primates; Cebidae.
ACAAUUAGAGUGAAGCCCUCAUGAAUGGGAUUAGUGGUCUUCUAAAAUGAACCUGAGAGAGUUCUUUCAUCUUCUUCCUGCCAUGUGAAGACAUAAAGAGAUGAUCAUCUAGGAACCAGGCCCUCACCAGACACAAAUCUCACUCUGUCGCCCCGGCUGGAGUGCAAUGGCGUAAUCUCGCCUCACUGCAACCUCCACCUCCUGGAUUGAAGUGAUUCUCCUGCCUCAGCCUCCUGAAUAGCUGGAUUACAGGCAUACACUACCACGCCCAGCUAAUUUUUGUAUUUUUAGCAGAGACAGAAUUUCACCAUGUUGAUCAGGAUGGUCUCGAACUCCUGACCUCAUGAUCCACUUGCCUUUGCCUCCCAAAGUGCUGGGAUUACAGUGCCUGUGCCACUGACCUCGGAAGGAGAAGGAUCUGCAGAGCACGUUCUCAGGACAGCCACUCCUGAGGCUGGUGGGACUCGUGAUUGCUACUUGAAUUGGAAUAAUUAGAACGGACAUGAAAAAGGAAUGAAGACAUAUCCCUUCAAAUUUAAACCUACAACUUAAAAUGCAAUUUCAUGAGCACUGUGGGAGGCCUGAGUUUUUACUGCUGGAGCCAAUAGUGAAGAUCUAUCUGGAAAUGUGAUUACCUACAGUAAGCACAAUCACAGAUUUCGGUUGACAACUGGGAGGUCUCCUUCCUUCCUGCGAUCAU